This 468-nucleotide ribosomal RNA is filed under the name uncultured bacterium. RNAcentral's name for it is "partial 16S ribosomal RNA". It matches the Rfam family "Bacterial small subunit ribosomal RNA", at positions 28 to 507 of the family's 1533-position model. The record is from RNAcentral.
GACGAACGCUGGCGGCGUGCUUAACACAUGCAAGUCGAACGGAAAGGCCCUGCUUUUGUGGGGUGCUCGAGUGGCGAACGGGUGAGUAACCCGUGAGUAACCUGCCCUGGACUUGGGGAUAACUUCAGGAAACUGGGGCUAAUACCGGAUAGGAGCUGCUGCUGCAUGGUGGGGGUUGGACAGUUUCGGCGGAGGUGGAUGGACGCGGGGCUUAUGAGCUGGUUGGGGGGGUAGUGGCUUACCAAGGGAUUGACGGGUAGCCGGCCUGGGAGGUGGGACGGCCACCUUGGGACUGAGAUACGGAGCAGUCUGCUACGGGGGGCAGCAGUGGGGAAUAUUGCACAGUGGGGGGACGCCUGAUGAAGCGACGCCGCGUGUGGGAUGACGGUCUUCGGGUUGUGAACCGCAUUAGCCUGUGACGAAGCGUGAGUGACGGUACUGGGUGAAGAAGCACCGGCUAACUACGUG